AUUGAACGCUGGCGGCAGGCCUAACACAUGCAAGUCGAGCGGAUGAAGGGAGCUUGCUCCUGGAUUCAGCGGCGGACGGGUGAGUAAUGCCUAGGAAUCUGCCUGGUAGUGGGGGAUAACGUCCGGAAACGGGCGCUAAUACCGCAUACGUCCUGAGGGAGAAAGUGGGGGAUCUUCGGACUCACGCUAUCAGAUGAGCCUAGGUCGGAUUAGCUAGUUGGUGGGGUAAAGGCCUACCAAGGCGACGAUCCGUAACUGGUCUGAGAGGAUGAUCAGUCACACUGGAACUGAGACACGGUCCAGACUCCUACGGGAGGCAGCAGUGGGGAAUAUUGGACAAUGGGCGAAAGCCUGAUCCAGCCAUGCCGCGUGUGUGAAGAAGGUCUUCGGAUUGUAAAGCACUUUAAGUUGGGAGGAAGGGCAGUAAGUUAAUACCUUGCUGUUUUGACGUUACCAACAGAAUAAGCACCGGCUAACUUCGUG
Molecule: ribosomal RNA, 483 nt
Filed under: uncultured bacterium
Lineage: Bacteria
Description: partial 16S ribosomal RNA
Rfam family: Bacterial small subunit ribosomal RNA
Source: RNAcentral